CGGUGCCAGUGCUUCAGUAGGCACAUGGUGCAAUUGCUGCAGCUGCUGAAGUUGCUGCAGGUGCUGCUGUUGCAGCUGUUGCUGCUGCUGCAACUGUUGCUGCUGAAGUUGCUGCUGCUGAAGCUGUUGUUGCUGCAAUUGCUGCUGCUGUUGAGCUUCCUGCAAUUGCUGCUGCUGCUG
Molecule: non-coding RNA, 180 nt
Organism: Pelobates cultripes (western spadefoot toad)
Lineage: Eukaryota; Metazoa; Chordata; Amphibia; Anura; Pelobatidae
Source: the annotation of a GenBank genome assembly